AUUGAACGCUGGCGGCAUGCCUUACACAUGCAAGUCGAACGGCAGCACGGGAGCAAUCCUGGUGGCGAGUGGCGAACGGGUGAGUAAAGUAUCGGAACGUGCCCAGUCGUGGGGGAUAACGUAGCGAAAGUUACGCUAAUACCGCAUACGAUCUAUGGAUGAAAGCGGGGGAUCGCAAGACCUCGCGCGAUUGGAGCGGCCGAUAUCAGAAUUAGGUAGUUGGUGGGGUAAAGGCCCACCAAGCCGACGAUCUGUAGCUGGUCUGAGAGGACGACCAGCCACACUGGGACUGAGACACGGCCCAGAAUCCUACGGGAGGGAGCAGUGGGGAAUUUUGGACAAUGGGCGAAAGCCUGAUCCAGCCAUGCCGCGUGCAGGAUGAAGGCCUUCGGGUUGUAAACUGCUUUUGUACGGAACGAAAAGGACUGCCCUAAUACGGUGGUCCCAUGACGGUACCGUAAGAAUAAGCACCGGCUAACUACGUGCCAGCCGCCGCAGUAA
This 501-nucleotide ribosomal RNA is filed under the name uncultured bacterium. Its description in RNAcentral is "partial 16S ribosomal RNA". It matches the Rfam family "Bacterial small subunit ribosomal RNA", at positions 30 to 523 of the family's 1533-position model. The record is from RNAcentral.